GUGCUCACUUGGCAGCACAUAUACUAAAAUUGGAAUGAUACAGAGAAGAUUAGCAUGGCCCCUGUGCAAAGAUGACAAGCAAAUUCAUGAAGCGUUCCAUAUUUUU
RNAcentral lists this small nuclear RNA (106 nucleotides) under Urocitellus parryii (Arctic ground squirrel). Lineage: Eukaryota; Metazoa; Chordata; Mammalia; Rodentia; Sciuridae. The record is from RNAcentral.